Molecule: ribosomal RNA, 348 nt
Filed under: uncultured eukaryote
Lineage: Eukaryota
Description: partial 18S ribosomal RNA
Rfam family: Eukaryotic small subunit ribosomal RNA
Source: RNAcentral
CCCUUAGAUGUUCUGGGCCGCACGCGCGCUACAAUGAAACGUUCAACAAGUUUUCUGUGGCCAGAGAUGGCUCCGGAUCUGCUUCGUCGAAAGGCGUGGCGAAUCUUUUAAACGCGUUUCGUGCUGGGGCUUGACAUUUGCAAUUAUUUGUCAUAAACGAGGAAUUCCUAGUAAACGCGACUCAUCAGGCCGCAUUGAUUACGUCCCUGCCCUUUGUACACACCGCCCGUCGCACCUACCGAUUGAAUGUUUCGGUGAAGAUUCCGGAUAGGACUGAUUUGAUUUAUUUCAUUUCUGACCUAAAAGCUAUCUAAACCUCAACAUUUAGAGGAAGGUGAAGUCGUAACA